Small nucleolar RNA from Polypterus senegalus (gray bichir), 128 nucleotides. RefSeq annotates it as small nucleolar RNA SNORA63. The record is from RefSeq and is a predicted model, not a curated record. The transcript has a single exon. Lineage: Eukaryota; Metazoa; Chordata; Cladistia; Polypteriformes; Polypteridae.
CUGCAGGUUAUGUUACAACAGAGCCUGAUAAUGCUCUGCUGUCGUUCCCCCUGCACAUAUUAACUCGUUUCUUUCUAUCCCUGUCUGUUUCUUCUCUAGAGCUUACAGGGACGCUUGGUUUCGUACAA